UACGGGAGGCAGCAGUGGAGAAUAUUGCACAAUGGGCGCAAGCCUGAUGCAGCCAUGCCGCGUGUAUGAAGAAGGCCUUCGGGUUGUAAAGUACUUUCAGUCGUGAGGAAGGUGUUAAGGUUAAUAACCUUAGCAAUUGACGUUAGCGACAGAAGAAGCACCGGCUAACUCCGUGCCAGCAGCCGCGGUAAUACGGAGGGUGCGAGCGUUAAUCGGAAUUACUGGGCGUAAAGGGCACGCAGGCGGUUAAUUAAGUUGGAUGUGAAAUCCCCGGGCUUAACCUGGGAAUGGCAUUCAAGACUGGUUAGCUAGAGUCUUGUAGAGGGGGUAGAAUUCCAUGUGUAGCGGUGAAAUGCGUAGAGAUGUGGAGGAAUACCGGUGGCGAAGGCGGCCCCUGGGACAAAGACUGACGCUCAUGUGCGAAAGCGUGGGGAGCAAACAGGGAUUAGGAUACC
This 455-nucleotide ribosomal RNA is filed under the name uncultured bacterium. Its description in RNAcentral is "bacterial SSU rRNA". It matches the Rfam family "Bacterial small subunit ribosomal RNA", at positions 340 to 786 of the family's 1533-position model. The record is from RNAcentral.